Molecule: long non-coding RNA, 1277 nt
Filed under: Brassica napus (rape)
Lineage: Eukaryota; Viridiplantae; Streptophyta; Magnoliopsida; Brassicales; Brassicaceae
Description: long non-coding RNA (BNAP_LNC023564)
Source: RNAcentral
GUUUGGAACAUCAAGAAUUAUAAAUCAUAAACGAAAACACACAGAAAAACUAUAAAAUAAAACAGAACAAACACUUAUUUUUAGUAACACAUUUUAUCUGUGCGUCAACACACAAGCUUUAAGAAUCAAACACAUGAAGUUAGUUACUAACAUUCAUAGAGUUUAACAUCCAUCUUAACACGGAAAUACUUAGCCCCUUGAAAUAUAUCCGUCACGAAGGUAGCGAUCCCACGAGCCAUGAAGAAAUCACCCGUCCCACCCACGACCGAUAGAUCUCUUGUCGGCUCCAUCAUCAAAUCCGCACCCAUUAUGUUCAAUGUCCCUUUGUGUUGCGUCGAGUUAAACACCAAGGUGUAGCAAAACCACGCAUUGUAGUCCAUCUUCAUGUCAUAGAAAUAGAAGCCUUGUGCGCGAGCUAGAGGUUCUGAGAGAUAGUUCUUGUCCAUUGUUAUGGGGCCAUCAAAGAUCACAAACUUACCGAACUUGAAGUUUCCUAAUCCUGGUGGGCUCACUAUAGCGGCUGAGGUUGCGUUUGCUACAUUGUCACCAUCGUAGAGGAUGUCAUGAAAGUAGAAGGAGAAGUGUUUGCAAGGUUUUCUCUGAUCAAAUGUUUUUCGGGACGAAAAAACUGUAUGGGAAAAGAGGACUAAUAAGAAGAAUGAGAAGAGGGACUUAAGGAGUUGUUUCUCUACAAGAGAUGCCAUGGUUAGCUAGAGACGACUAGUGAGUUGUGUAAAUUGAAGAUCGCUUACACCCCCAUUAAUAUAGAAGUUAUUCACAUGAGUUAGUGAAGAUAAUUUAUUUGGAUAAAAUGAAAGAAUUUUAAAAGUUUGAGGGGACUGCUAAAUUGGUUGUUCACGUACGUUUCGUCAAUUAAAAUAUAAAUUCGAUUGACAAGAAAGGUUUAAGAUCAUGUGGCGGGGUUGGUGCAAAACUAAGCAACAAGUUAAUUUCACUUUCUUGAAAGGUUUAAUGAUUUAAUACUGUUAAACCGGUUGGUGGCCUAUGUUGGAUCCAACCUCACAUUUUAUCUGUGCGUCAACACACAAGCUUUAAGAAUCAAACACAUGAAGUUAGUUACUAACAUUCAUAGAGUUUAACAUCCAUCUUAACACGGAAAUACUUAGCCCCUUGAAAUAUAUCCGUCACGAAGGUAGCGAUCCCACGAGCCAUGAAGAAAUCACCCGUCCCACCCACGACCGAUAGAUCUCUUGUCGGCUCCAUCAUCAAAUCCGCACCCAUUAUGUUCAAUGUCCCUUUGUGUUGCGUCGAGUUAA